Molecule: long non-coding RNA, 575 nt
Filed under: Gossypium barbadense (sea-island cotton)
Lineage: Eukaryota; Viridiplantae; Streptophyta; Magnoliopsida; Malvales; Malvaceae
Description: long non-coding RNA (GBAR_LNC011635)
Source: RNAcentral
UAAAGGGAAAUCAAAAUAUGAAGUAAGGUUUUUGCAUCUAAAUGCAAGGAAGUAAAAAGCUACAAUAAAAACUAAGAAAACUACACUACAACUACUAACCUGAGAAAGGUAAAGAACUAAAACCUAAAAAUGGAGAAGAAAAUAAAAACUAAGCUAAAAGGAUGAUAAAGUUGGCUCUUUUAGUUUGACUUCAACCAUAAAACUUGACAAAAAUGCCCUUGGAGUGUACGGGUUAACUUGUGUUUAUGUUAGACAUAAAACUACCCUUGUAGUAUCUUUUACCCGGUCAGGCUUCCGUGUUGUGACACCCAAGCUUUGGUGUCGUGACAUCCUUGACAGUGGCACGAUCUUGUCUUUGGGAGUUUUCGAUGUUGCAACAUCCUCGACAUUAGCCUUGGUUCUUUAACUUCAACCAUCGACAAUGGUAUCGCGACUUUGAAGGCUGGGAUUCGUGACUUCGGCUUGGUGUCACAACACAAUACCCUCGACGUCACAACAUCCUUGCAGACUUCUCCAGGUUGGUUUCUCGUCGAAGACUUGCUCCCUCAAGAUGAUGAAGGCCAAGAUUGGUUGUU